This 74-nucleotide transfer RNA is filed under the name Musa acuminata subsp. malaccensis (wild Malaysian banana). It matches the Rfam family "tRNA". From Rfam's summary of the family: Transfer RNA (tRNA) molecules are approximately 80 nucleotides in length. Their secondary structure includes four short double-helical elements and three loops (D, anti-codon, and T loops). Lineage: Eukaryota; Viridiplantae; Streptophyta; Magnoliopsida; Zingiberales; Musaceae. The record is from Rfam by way of RNAcentral.
GGCCUAUUAGUUCAUUUAGUUAGAACGUCAUGCUAAUAAUGCGAAAGCUGCAUGUUUGAGACCUGCAUGAGCCA